Non-coding RNA from Panthera uncia (snow leopard), 73 nucleotides. NCBI's taxonomy places the organism in Eukaryota, Metazoa, Chordata, Mammalia, Carnivora, Felidae. The record is from the annotation of a RefSeq genome assembly.
UCCUGGCUGGCUCAGUUGGUAGAGCAUGAGACUUUUGAUCUCAGGGUUAUAAGUUCGAGCCUCAUGUUGGGUG